GUCCAGGCCGAGAUUCUCAGAGAAGAGGCAUCGAGAGGGCCCAGGUGCUGAGAAGGAACUGCCCUCUCCCAGUGAAAGGAGGUUUCCCCCCAGGCUACCUAGUCCUCACGGCCCUACCGGGCAGCCCGCAACGCCCAGCCCCUCCCUCCAUGCUGCCUCUGUGUGCACGGCCCCCGGCGCCCCUACCAGGCACCAUGGACUGGAAGACGCUCCAGUCCCUACUGAGUGGUGUGAACAAGUACUCCACGGCCUUCGGGCGCAUCUGGCUGUCGGUGGUGUUCGUCUUCCGGGUGCUGGUGUACGUGGUGGCUGCAGAGCGCGUGUGGGGGGACGAGCAGAAGGACUUUGACUGCAACACCAAGCAGCCAGGCUGCACCAACGUCUGCUAUGACAACUACUUCCCCAUCUCCAACAUCCGUCUCUGGGCCCUGCAGCUCAUCUUCGUCACCUGCCCCUCGCUGCUGGUCAUCCUGCACGUGGCCUACCGGGAGGAGCGGGAGCGGCGGCACCGGCUGAAGCACGGAGACCAGUGCACCAAGCUGUAUGACAAUGCGGGCAAGAAGCACGGUGGCCUGUGGUGGACCUACCUGCUGAGCCUCAUCUUCAAGCUCAUCAUCGAAUUCGUCUUCCUCUACGUGCUGCACACCCUCUGGUACGGCUUCAGCAUGCCACGCCUUGUGCAGUGCUCCAACGUGGCGCCCUGCCCCAACACCGUGGACUGCUACAUCGCCCGGCCCACGGAGAAGAAGGUCUUCACCUACUUCAUGGUGGGCGCCUCUGCCGUCUGCAUCGUGCUCACCAUCAGCGAGAUCUGCUACCUCAUCUUCCACAGGGUCAUAAAAGGCAUACGCAACCAGAGGGGCCCUGGCAGCCGCAACCGCAAAUCCUCAGCCAGCCGGGCCUCCACCUGCCGCUGCCACCAUAAGCUGGUGGAGGGGGAGUUCGUCCUGGACGCCCACAGUGACAAGCCGCAUGCUUCAGCACCCGCUCUGACCCCCAUCUGACCACGGGCCGGGGGGUGAUGCCUGGUCUGCCAACGGGGACAGGUGGGGAGGUAUCGCGCCGGUGGAGGGGUCCUGCAGGUGCUGGGUGCCCCCACUUGGAAUUCACCGAGCUAUCCAGUUUCAUUCGGGGCAGAUACUUUUUGAGUGCUGGGCACUGUGCUGAAUACUUGGGUGUAGGUCACUCCACAGGCCCAGUGCCAUCUCUUGGGGGAAGCCAACACUGAAACGAGCAAAUUAACUACUGCGCAAGGGGAUGCUUAGGGCACUCAUACAGGGCUUCUACCCAGCCCAGGAGGGAGCGAUCAGGCGAGACUUUCCUGAGGAAGUAAAGUUUAAGAGAAGUGAGAAGUGCUUCCAAGUGGAGAGAAGAGCAGGCAAAGAGGCCUGGAGGCUACAAGAAGAGACAUGCUUGCCCUGGGUUGGAUGCACCAGACCAGAAAGAAUGUUCCUUCCCUUUGGAGAAGCACCUCGGUCCCUGUGGUGCAGAGGAAGAAUUCCCCCACCAGAGGGAGGUCUGGAGGCCUGAGAAUUCUUGGGAAGAGGAGGAGGGGGCUCUGGUGACACCAACCUCUCCUGGUGACACCCAGGGAUCCUCUGAGUCCCACUGCUCUCAGGGCAGGUCCCCCACCCCAGCCUCCACUCUCCCAGCCUCAGGAAGCUUCGCUCCCAUCUUCCUCCCUGCAGAUGUGCUGUCUGGUGCCAGCCUUUCAGGAACAUCCCCACGGCAGUUUCCUUGAAAUCAAUAAAGGCUGGGUUUUAUACAGAUUGGCUCCAUCCUCUGUUCUACACUCCCACCCACAAGACCCUGAGGUCAGGAAAGGUCGCCCUGGGAAGGAGAGAGAGCUCCAUGGCGGGGUGGGGGGUGGGGGCGGGUAUAGCUAGGGUGUGGGCUGAAGUUAGGCUGGGGCUGGGAUUGACAGGUGGGAGCUGGGGUGGAACCUACUGUGAUUGGAGAUGUGGCCACAAGAGGGCGCUAUGCUCCCGCUACAGCCGUUCUAGUGAUUUCAUAGGGAGACUGCCCUGAGCGCACACAAUCACUGCCCUCUCAUUACAGACAAAUCACAGUCCCUCCUUUGUAACCAAGGCACUGCCAUCCACAACCGCAUCCCCACCCUGUGUACACAAAAUCCCUGUUAGUCAUACUCUCACUCAUAUAUGCUGCCGGCAGGCCUGUUGUCUCCUCUACAGGCAUGCGGUCCCUGCCUCACCCAAGCGUUAUUCAGUUCCUUUCAUUUUCCUGAGCAUUUUUUCCACACCGAGCCCCCUGGCAGGAUGCCGGAGGCUGCAGAGGGGGUAGGAGCUGAGCCCAAGGAGCUCAGAGCCUGGGGGAGACAGAAACAAACUCUUCUGCAUUAACAGCACUCUGGGUGGCUCAGCCCCUCUCCCAGCACUGUGUGAGGACCUGAAACUUAGGGGACACCAACAUCAAGGCCAGACCAGGAUGGGAAGCAGAAGAGGUACAAAGGCUAUACUGACCUGGAGGAACAUUUAGUGACUAUUAAAGCCGAGGCCAGGAGGCAGCCCAGAGCCAAUGCAGGCAGGGAGAGGUCAGACCAUCGUGCAGACACAACAGGCUGUGAUUCAUCUUUGCUCUCAAGUGUGGCCAUUAGUGAGAUGGAUAAGCCAGCCAAGUUUAAGGUCCCUGGGCAGGGCUGAUAUCUACCCCCCAGGUGUGAAUCAUAGCUUAACCACUUCCGGAUCACAGCUUCCCCGUGCUACACCUUGGCAAGCUUUCAGAAUCUCUGUCUUGUCACCAAUACAAUGGGAACCGUAUCAAUCAGGGUCCUGGCAGGAAACAGAUGACACAGUCAAACCAAAUAAUGUCAAAGAGUUUCCCGGAGGGGCUGUUUUAAAAGGUGUGGGCAUGAUUAAGGAAACCCACGAAUCCUGGGGUAACUUCAGUAUCCUGGGGGUACUACCAGAGUAGCAAUGGACAGGGUUACUACACAGGUGCUCCAUCCAACCACAGCAACCAAAUAAAUUCCCCAACUUCACUCUCUCAUCUCCUGCUCACCUGCUGGUGGCUCCCACUGACCCAACCCAACCAGAAGCCAGAGAUCCAGGAGGCAGUCAGCCUCCCAAGGCACAAGGCAGGGUGGAGAGGGGGGAAGAGUAGACCAGAGGGGCAAAGGGAACAUACUCAUUCCCAGCACUCAGGACAUACCUAGGAUUGUUGUAGAGGUAAAAGGAGACACUGCAGGUAAGGCAUUAGUACAGCGUUAACAACAUAGCCAGUGACUCUCCGAGUGCAACCAUGCUCAGGAAAGCAAGCUCUGCCUGCUCCCCAGGCAACAUGGUACCUCAGCCCCAGCUUAGAUUGGAUGGUUGCAAAGGUCUUAGGGAGAAGAGAUCUCUACCUAUCUGCCACCAUGCAUUCUAGCAUCUUCCAGGACAUUCUGGCUGCCUGGCCAAGGAUGGCUUAGAGAUCAGAGCAAUCAGGGCACAUCAUUGGCUAGCCCAGAAUGGACUGAGCUUCCAGCCCGACCCUGCUUCUCCAGGGUGCAGGCCAGGACCAUGGAUGAGGGACAUUCCAGUCCUGGACAUCCUGCCUUGGGCCUGGGAGCUAUUUUGAGCAUCACAGCUUACUGUUCUCAUCCAGUAUGUGUUGGGCUAAUGUUCAUCACCCAGAGUCCCGCAGUGCACAUCACUGUCAUCAGAAGAUAGCCCUCAUGUCCCCUUGGCUUUCUCUGCUCAGGGUACACAUCUCUAUUUCCUCCUUCCUCAACUGCAUGAGCUUCCUUCAAUUGUGCAUCUGAUAGAUUUCCAUUUCAUAUACACAGCCUUCAAGCCCACAUCUACUGAAAGAUGUAACAGCCACCCUGCAGCCCUAGAAGAGAUAAGAGAAGGAUGAGGACAGGUUGAGAAGACAGCCCUGUGUAAACCAGGAGGAGGGCAGUCUCCAAGAACCCAACCAUGCAGGUUCCCUGAUCUCGCUCCAGCCUCCAGAAAUAGAUGAGCAGCCUAUUUCUCUAAUUUAAGCCCCCAGUCUGUACUAUUCUGUUACAGCAGCCUGAGCUCACUAAGACCUCCUCAUCAUCUCUCACCUGGAUUAUGGCCACAGUCUCCCUCUUGUAGGCCCCUGAUCCUGGAAAACAGACACUGAGGAAGAGUUAAGAGUGCAAAGGGUCAUAUGUAAAACUUUAGACAAUAAAAAAAUAAAUAAAAAUAAAAGAACUAAAAAAUAAUAAUCCUAUAUAAUAAAGAGGUAAUAUGCAAAUUGACCAUCACACUCUCGCACAAAAUGGCCACCCCCAUAUCGUCACAAGAUGGCCACGUCCAUGUCAUCACAAGAUGGCCACCCCAUGUCAUCACAAGAUGGCCGGCAGGGGAGGGCAGUUAGGGGUGACUGGGCCGGCAGGGGAGGGCUGUUGGGGGCAACCGGGCCAGCAGGGGAGCAGUUAGGCAUUGAUCAGGCUUGCAUGGGAGUGGUUAGGGGCAAUCAAGCAGGCAGGCGAGAGGUUGGGAGCCAGCAGUCCCGGAUUGUGAGAGGGAUGUCUGAGGGAUCCCAGAUUGGAGAGGGUGCAGGCUGGGCUGAGGGACAUCCCCCCUCCAGUGCACGAAUUUUGCGCACCAGGCCUCUAGUAAUAAUAAUAAUAAAGUAUAAAAAAAAAAAAAAA
RNA transcript from Myotis daubentonii (Daubenton's bat), 4621 nucleotides. It is a transcript of the gene named gap junction protein beta 3, with no coding region annotated. The record is from RefSeq and is a predicted model, not a curated record. NCBI's taxonomy places the organism in Eukaryota, Metazoa, Chordata, Mammalia, Chiroptera, Vespertilionidae.